This 490-nucleotide ribosomal RNA is filed under the name uncultured bacterium. Its description in RNAcentral is "partial 16S ribosomal RNA". It matches the Rfam family "Bacterial small subunit ribosomal RNA", at positions 30 to 507 of the family's 1533-position model. The record is from RNAcentral.
AUUGAACGCUGGCGGCAGGCCUAACACAUGCAAGUCGAACGGUAACAGGAAGAAGCUUGCUUCUCUGCUGACGAGUGGCGGACGGGUGAGUAAUGUCUGGGAAACUGCCUGAUGGAGGGGGAUAACUACUGGAAACGGUAGCUAAUACCGCAUAACGUCGCAAGACCAAAAAGGGGGACCUUCGGGCCUCUUGCCAUCGGAUGUGCCCAGAUGGGAUUAGCUAGUAGGUGGGGUAACGGCUCACCUAGGCGACGAUCCCUAGCUGGUCUGAGAGGAUGACCAGCCACACUGGAACUGAGACACGGUCCAGACUCCUACGGGAGGCAGCAGUGGGGAAUAUUGCACAAUGGGCGCAAGCCUGAUGCAGCCAUGCCGCGUGUAUGAAGAAGGCCUUCGGGUUGUAAAGUACUUUCAGCGGGGAGGAAGGGAGUAAAGUUAAUACCUUUGCUCAUUGACGUUACCCGCAGAAGAAGCACCGGCUAACUCCGUG